UUGCAAAUAUCAUCCACACCUAUCCAAAAUCCCAUAUGGCCAUAUAUAAAUACACAUACAAAUACAUCACCUCUGUCCAAAAAAAGAAGAGACCAAACCCCUGUUCCAAAUAUCCUAAAACCAAAACAAACAAGAAAACCCUCAAUUUCUUAAACAAAAAUCUUUGAAAAAAAAUAUUCAAAAAUGCUUCAUCUGUUUUUCGCAGUUGGUUUCUCAGCCGUACCGUUGACUUUGUUUGUGCCACCAAUAAGAAACUUCAAUUUAUUUGUAGCAUCAAUGGAAGAUCUAUGGCGUGAAUCAAGUGUGUACACCAAUAGGAUGUAUCCACGUGUACGGUGAAAUUGUAUAAAUCAUUAUGUCGUGUGCGUUGUACUGACGUUUUAAAAUGUCACACGGAUCAACUAUGUUGUUACACAUAAUAAAUUUAUACAAUUAUUAUAUGUGUACAUAUUGUUUUCUUUUCUACUUAGCCUUAACAAUAUCAUUUGUAUUAGAAGGAUUUAAAUGUAAUGUAUUUGAUAACUAUUAUAUUCAUUGUCUUUUUGGAUGUA
Erigeron canadensis is the source of this 551-nucleotide long non-coding RNA. RefSeq lists it as uncharacterized. NCBI's taxonomy places the organism in Eukaryota, Viridiplantae, Streptophyta, Magnoliopsida, Asterales, Asteraceae. The transcript has 2 exons. The record is from RefSeq and is a predicted model, not a curated record.